This 26-nucleotide non-coding RNA is filed under the name Rattus norvegicus (Norway rat). The record is from RNAcentral. Lineage: Eukaryota; Metazoa; Chordata; Mammalia; Rodentia; Muridae.
UGCGUGGUGGUAGGGGAGAUAGCAGC